ACCUCAUGAUUUGGACAUUAUGUUAUUUUUCCAUUGAAUCUUUCCCAUACUUUAUACAAAGGCUCCCCAUUUAAUUACCUAAAGUUGAUGAUCUCAUCCCUCAAUU
This is a non-coding RNA of Capsicum annuum, 106 nucleotides long. NCBI's taxonomy places the organism in Eukaryota, Viridiplantae, Streptophyta, Magnoliopsida, Solanales, Solanaceae. The record is from Rfam.